Molecule: ribosomal RNA, 254 nt
Filed under: uncultured bacterium
Lineage: Bacteria
Description: partial 16S ribosomal RNA
Rfam family: Bacterial small subunit ribosomal RNA
Source: RNAcentral
GACGAACCGUGCGAACGUUGUUCGGAAUCACUGGGCUUAAAGGGCGCGUAGGCGGACAACCAAGUCGGGGGUGAAAUCUUCGGCUCAACCGGAAAAUAGCCUUCGAUACUGGCCGUCUAGAGGGAGGUAGGGGCGUGUGGAACUUCCGGUGGAGCGGUGAAAUGCGUUGAUAUCGGAAGGAACUCCGGGUGGCGAAAGCGACACGCUGGAUCUCUUCUGACGCUGAGGCGCGAAAGCCAGGGGAGCGGAACGGG